GUGGAGCAGUUGGUAGCUCGUCGGGCUCAUAACCCGAAGGUCAUAGGUUCGAGUCCUGUC
Molecule: transfer RNA, 60 nt
Filed under: Putridiphycobacter roseus
Lineage: Bacteria; Pseudomonadati; Bacteroidota; Flavobacteriia; Flavobacteriales; Crocinitomicaceae
Description: Crocinitomix sp. SM1701 tRNA-Met
Rfam family: tRNA
About the family: Transfer RNA (tRNA) molecules are approximately 80 nucleotides in length. Their secondary structure includes four short double-helical elements and three loops (D, anti-codon, and T loops).
Source: RNAcentral